ACUAAAAAAAGUCCACCCAAGAUUCAAAGAAAAUUUGAAAUAAAAAUAAGGUAUACUUAAAGUGGCAUACUAAAAAAUCUAAGAAAAUUAAACAAAAAAAUCCCUAAAAGAAAAAAAAAACACAAAUCUUGUAAAAAAAGAAUUAUAUUCCCAAAAGAACCAAAGAAACUCAAAACCUUUUAAUCACCAAAAUCAACAAAAUAACAAAAAAGAAAAAAAAAUCCCCUUAAAUUGAUCCUGCUUAAGUUUUGCCAUUUGCUGCUAACGUUACUUGUCUAUACAUAUAUGUAUGAACGUGUAAAUUUUGAUUUCCCUUACACUUUUUGUUGUUGUUGUUGUUAUUAUUGCUGUUGCUGUUCCCUACAAAGCCUUGAAGGCAAACAAAAGAACAACAACAUAUUCAACAACAAAUUCAACAUCAACCUUAGCAUCAAGAAACUCAAACUCAACAACAACAUCAACACUGGCACCGGCACCAUUACCAAUAUAGUCAUCAUCUAUAUCAUCAUCCUCAUCAACAUUGUAAGGCACCACCACCACCUCAUCAUCAGCGGCACGGUGUGUGAAAAUUCCCAUGAAAUGUUGCUGGAAUACAUGACAAUGCUGUUUAUUUUCGGAUUAACCACAAUACACCUGGAAAGGAGUCGCAUUAGUGUUCAAGCCAUAAAACUGUUAACCAACGAAACCAUCCACGACAUCAACAACAUGAUAUUGGAAAGCUAUGAUCAAUUAGAGCCAGAAUUUGAGAACACUACAAAUCGCGAUGUAAUUGGAGCGGUGGGCACAACAGCGCGCUUGCACUGUCGAGUGCGAAACCUGGGCGACCGGGCGGUCUCGUGGAUAAGAAAGCGCGACUUGCACAUACUGACGAUAGGCAUAAUGACCUACACAAAUGAUCAGAGGUUUCUGGCGCGACACAUUGACAACUCCGAUGAGUGGGUGUUGAAAAUAGUCUCAGUACAGCCACGAGAUGCGGGCAUCUAUGAGUGUCAGGUGUCGACGGAGCCAAAAAUUAGUCAAGCAUAUAAAUUAACCGUUGUCACAUCGCGAGCACAAAUACUCUCGAACCGUGAACUGUUCGUGCAGAGUGGCAGUGACAUUAAUUUAACCUGCAUCGCACCACAGGCGCCCGGCCCCUACACUCACAUGCUGUGGUACAAAGACAGCGAACUAAUCAACGACUCAACAAGGGGCGGCAUACGGGUUGUGUCAGAGCAGCAAAUGAAAACGAGCAAUUUGGUGAUUUCACGCGUAACUCACACAGACUCCGGCAACUACACGUGUGCGGCCGACAAUUCAAAUAGCGACAGUGUUUUUGUACAUAUCAUCAAUAGCGAAAAACAUGCCGCCAUGCAACAUGAACUGGCAACACGACUGCACGUACCACACAGCCUUCUACUAAUACUGACAAUAUUCUAUAUAUUGGAACGAGUCAUCAAAUGAAAUUGUAUCCACAGUCUGUGCUUAUCAUUAGUCCUAACAAAUCCUCACAUUAUCCACCGCCAAGCAAGCAAAUCGUCAUUAUGUAGUAGCAGGAACAGCAGCAGCAGCAGCCGGAGAAGAACCACUAGGAGCAGCAUCAAGCGUAGCCACGAAUCCUGCAGCUUGUACCAUAACCAGCAGAAGAUGACUGAUGCCGAAAACAACUAUUCCAUGUUGAGCAAGACGGCGCCUUUGAAAGAUGCCAGGCGUUGAUUUUGAUGUUUUUUUUUCGCUUUCCUGUUUUUCUCCAUUCUUCGACACAGAAGAUAUGUAACCUUUUUCGUCUACCAUGAGCAUAACUUAAGGUGUCAGCACAAACAAGGGGAGCAUAAUCAAAAAAAA
Stomoxys calcitrans (stable fly) is the source of this 1824-nucleotide RNA transcript. It is a transcript of the gene named hemicentin-2, with no coding region annotated. The transcript is spliced from 6 exons. Lineage: Eukaryota; Metazoa; Arthropoda; Insecta; Diptera; Muscidae. The record is from RefSeq and is a predicted model, not a curated record.